Molecule: ribosomal RNA, 520 nt
Filed under: uncultured Glomus
Lineage: Eukaryota; Fungi; Glomeromycota; Glomeromycetes; Glomerales; Glomeraceae
Description: SSU rRNA
Rfam family: Eukaryotic small subunit ribosomal RNA
Source: RNAcentral
AGCAGCCGCGGUAAUUCCAGCUCCAAUAGCGUAUAUUAAAGUUGUUGCAGUUAAAAAGCUCGUAGUUGAAUUUCGGGAUUAAUAUGUCGGUCGUACUUUGUACGUACUAGCAUUAUUGGUUUCUCCCUUCUGACGAACCACGAUGUCAUUAAUUUGGUGUCAUGGGAAAUCAGGACUGUUACUUUGAAAAAAUUAGAGUGUUUAAAGCAAGCUCGCGCUUGAAUACAUUAGCAUGGAAUAAUGAAAUAGGACGUUUGAUUCUAUUUUGUUGGUUUCUAGGAUCGACGUAAUGAUUAAUAGGGAUAGUUGGGGGCAUUAGUAUUCAAUUGUCAGAGGUGAAAUUCUUGGAUUUAUUGAAGACUAACUACUGCGAAAGCAUUUGCCAAGGAUGUUUUCAUUAAUCAAGAACGAAAGUUAGGGAUCGAAGACGAUCAGAUACCGUCGUAGUCUUAACCAUAAACUAUGACCGACUAGGGAUCGGAUGAUGUUAAUUUUUAAUGUACUCAUUCGGCGCCUUACG